CAAAACAAUGGAGUCUCAAUUGCCUUCAGCCUAUACCAUUGAAAAUUGAUGAAAAUGAUAUGAAACAGAUAACUGAAGCAGUGAAGCUAAACCAGAAUAUCAUCAGCAAGAGUCCAAACAAAAUGAACACUGCAGAGGAUUCUACAUCACAAACAAACAGUGUUCAAAAGGGAUUAAGUCUAUGAUUACAUUUUUGCCCUGAAUCCCUGGGUAUAUAAGCGAUAUCUCCAUCACUUUCUCAAUUCCAGUAGUCUCCAUCGAUAUCAAUGCCUGUUGUUAGGCAAUUUCAAGCUUAUCCAUCACAAUCAGUCUGAACAAAAGCUUGCUCAAAACUUGAAGGAAGGUCACCAAGUUGCAGGCUCUCGCUCUCACACGAAGUAUCAUUAAGUUUCGUUUUAUUAGCUUAUUUGCCAGAUUUGGGGAAUAGUUUUCAGCAAGAAAAGAGUUUUUGCAAAACGUUGGGCACUCAGUUUCAUCUCCUAAUUCAAAAGGUUUAGAACAUCAAAUUAAGUUAUAGGUGUUCUUCAGAUUAAGUUUCAGAUCACAACCCUUGCAAAUGCAAUUGAAGAGAUGUUAGGUACGUCCAUUCUGUAGCAUAUGUCCUAAUUGAUACUUUGACAUUUCUCAUGUACUGCUUAGAAUAUUGUGUACACACAUCAUAUUUGUAUAUUUACUUUCUUUGUUUCCUUCUUAGAAUAUCAAAGAUAAUUUAAUUUGAAUAUAAGCAUUGAUAAAUGCUUUGUACUACAGUAGUUGGGUUUCCAUUUUACUGCGCAAACUGGACAAUAUAUAUAUUGAAUCCAAGUACUUUAGUUGUUUGCCUCUUAGAAUAUCAAACAAAUAUGAUAAAUGCUUGGCUGUAAUUUUUAUUUCGAGGAUAACCCUUGGAUUGGCAGUACACUGAUCAUAUUAAAAGCCAAAUAUUGGCAAGACUAACAGAAGAGCUAUAUCUCUUACGUGAAAAUCACUAAGAAACAAAUUCUCAGACAAAUUCAACAUGCUUUGGUCUUUCAUUUUUGUUUCCUAUACAAAAAUGAUCUUUUGUUCUGUAUAAGUUCAAUGCCAUUUCUCCACUAUAGAUUGCUCAAAAGUCAUUGGUAGAAGACUCAUCGAAGCAGCUAAAAUAACAGCUGACUUAAGUGGGGCAAUAGCCCUUACCCGAUGAUAGAAUGUCCAUCACCUGAAGCUUUAAAACAUCGGACCCACCAAAAGUUGGCAAAGGUAAUGACAAGGAUUCCUCUAUCUGAAAAACUGGAAAAGGGUGAGCUGAGCAAUACAGUUUAUGUUCUUCCCAAUUUUGUUUAUAAGCGUGUGCUUCUUUACAUUACUUCUUUUAAUGGGUACAGAGUGACAGCGGUAGAGAAACUGAGAACAAAGCUGCAGCUCAUCAAACCUAUCUAGCACGAACUUUGUAGCACCCAAGUGGCCAAGUAUGUGCAACAUAAAAAAAGUUACGCUAGAAGAACAUAGAAUGGUUUCAAACAGGCUCUAUAGGUCGGUGAAAAAGUUCACACAGAGGAACAUUCUAAGGAUUUACCCCAAAGAAACUUAAAGUUGCCUCCUCAAAUUACCAACCACAUAUUGAAUGGAUGCAUGGAGCUCAAAUGGUUGUGUCUAAUGUGCAGGGAUGUGAUAACUCACGAUGGUUCAUGCAUGGGAUGUUUAGAGCCAAUGAUGAGGCACUGCCUUCUUUAUGCACAAGGGCUCAAAUGAUGGGAUUUUUUUAUCCUAAAAAGACCUUGGUAGUGACAAAGACAUUGAAGGUGAAAGCAUUUAUGGCCAAUGGAUGUCACUUGGAUUUUAAUCAAACCCCCUUUGAUUCAUUCUCCCCACAGACUUCUACACAAAAGUUAGUAAGUAUUUUGCAGAGCUCUGAUCACGUCAUAUGCAGCUGGUUGUUUGUAGCUCAGCUGAAAUUUCGGAGGACUUAUCAUUUGUUGCAAAUGACGAAUCAGACUUUGUACAUAAACACCUACUGUUGUGAGGAUAUAAUAUAUAAUGUAACAAUGUAAUAUAACAAUGUUUCUAAAUUUAGUAGUUACGAUAUAAUAUAUAAUUUAACAAUGUAAUAUAACAAUAUUUCUAAAUUCAUUAGCAUCGAAUCAAACAAUAUUCCCGCAGCAUCGCGCGGGCUCUAUAACUA
Molecule: RNA transcript, 2143 nt
Organism: Rosa rugosa (rugosa rose)
Lineage: Eukaryota; Viridiplantae; Streptophyta; Magnoliopsida; Rosales; Rosaceae
Gene name: phosphoinositide phospholipase C 6-like
Exons: 9
Source: RefSeq, a predicted model, not a curated record